Molecule: microRNA precursor, 356 nt
Filed under: Hordeum vulgare
Lineage: Eukaryota; Viridiplantae; Streptophyta; Magnoliopsida; Poales; Poaceae
Description: miR5048 stem-loop (hvu-MIR5048a)
Rfam family: MIR5048 microRNA precursor family
Source: miRBase by way of RNAcentral
UCUAGCAAUAUAUUUGCAGGUUUUAGGUCUAAGUGGUGAAUAUCGAUCUCUGAAUAUAUUGAUAACCUUCACAAAUUUGCUGAUUAUUUUUGUAGCGCUCUUUCAUGAGAAAUGAUUGUCCCACAUGCAUAUCCAUGACUAAAAAAAGCAAAAAAGUAAUAAUUGGGUGUUGUGUUCUCACAAAGAAAGAUGGAAAAGUUUAACAAAAACUUGUGAAGGAAGAUGAAUGCUUUGAUUAUGCAUGAAUCCAUAAUGAUAAAGUGCUAUUGAAUGAUCAAGUAAUUUGUAAGGUUUUUAUUAUCUUCGCAAGAGUUGUAUUGUUAAUUUAGACCUAGACAUGCAAGUAUAUUUCUAGG